GAUGAACGCUGGCGGCGUGCCUAAUACAUGCAAGUCGAGCGAACAGAUGAGGAGCUUGCUCCUCUGACGUUAGCGGCGGACGGGUGAGUAACACGUGGAUAACCUACCUAUAAGACUGGGAUAACUUCGGGAAACCGGAGCUAAUACCGGAUAAUAUAUUGAACCGCAUGGUUCAAUAGUGAAAGACGGUUUUGCUGUCACUUAUAGAUGGAUCCGCGCCGCAUUAGCUAGUUGGUAAGGUAACGGCUUACCAAGGCAACGAUGCGUAGCCGACCUGAGAGGGGGAUCGGCCACACUGGAACUGAGACACGGUCCAGACUCCUACGGGAGGCAGCAGUCGGGAAUCUUCCGCAAUGGGCGAAAGCAUGACGGAGCAACGCCGCGUGAGUGAUGAAGGUCUUCGGAUCGUAAAACUCUGUUAUGAGGGAAGAACAAAUGUGUAAGUAACUAUGCACGUCUUGACGGUACCUAAUCAGAAAGCCACGGCUAACUACGUG
RNAcentral lists this ribosomal RNA (497 nucleotides) under uncultured bacterium. RNAcentral's name for it is "partial 16S ribosomal RNA". It matches the Rfam family "Bacterial small subunit ribosomal RNA", at positions 28 to 507 of the family's 1533-position model. The record is from RNAcentral.